RNAcentral lists this ribosomal RNA (2787 nucleotides) under Escherichia coli. Its description in RNAcentral is "bacterial LSU rRNA". It matches the Rfam family "Bacterial large subunit ribosomal RNA". Lineage: Bacteria; Pseudomonadati; Pseudomonadota; Gammaproteobacteria; Enterobacterales; Enterobacteriaceae. The record is from RNAcentral.
AGCGUACACGGUGGAUGCCCUGGCAGUCAGAGGCGAUGAAGGACGUGCUAAUCUGCGAUAAGCGUCGGUAAGGUGAUAUGAACCGUUAUAACCGGCGAUUUCCGAAUGGGGAAACCCAGUGUGUUUCGACACACUAUCAUUAACUGAAUCCAUAGGUUAAUGAGGCGAACCGGGGGAACUGAAACAUCUAAGUACCCCGAGGAAAAGAAAUCAACCGAGAUUCCCCCAGUAGCGGCGAGCGAACGGGGAGCAGCCCAGAGCCUGAAUCAGUGUGUGUGUUAGUGGAAGCGUCUGGAAAGGCGCGCGAUACAGGGUGACAGCCCCGUACACAAAAAUGCACAUGCUGUGAGCUCGAUGAGUAGGGCGGGACACGUGGUAUCCUGUCUGAAUAUGGGGGGACCAUCCUCCAAGGCUAAAUACUCCUGACUGACCGAUAGUGAACCAGUACCGUGAGGGAAAGGCGAAAAGAACCCCGGCGAGGGGAGUGAAAAAGAACCUGAAACCGUGUACGUACAAGCAGUGGGAGCACGCUUCGGCGUGUGACUGCGUACCUUUUGUAUAAUGGGUCAGCGACUUAUAUUCUGUAGCAAGGUUAACCGAAUAGGGGAGCCGAAGGGAAACCGAGUCUUAACUGGGCGUUAAGUUGCAGGGUAUAGACCCGAAACCCGGUGAUCUAGCCAUGGGCAGGUUGAAGGUUGGGUAACACUAACUGGAGGACCGAACCGACUAAUGUUGAAAAAUUAGCGGAUGACUUGUGGCUGGGGGUGAAAGGCCAAUCAAACCGGGAGAUAGCUGGUUCUCCCCGAAAGCUAUUUAGGUAGCGCCUCGUGAAUUCAUCUCCGGGGGUAGAGCACUGUUUCGGCAAGGGGGUCAUCCCGACUUACCAACCCGAUGCAAACUGCGAAUACCGGAGAAUGUUAUCACGGGAGACACACGGCGGGUGCUAACGUCCGUCGUGAAGAGGGAAACAACCCAGACCGCCAGCUAAGGUCCCAAAGUCAUGGUUAAGUGGGAAACGAUGUGGGAAGGCCCAGACAGCCAGGAUGUUGGCUUAGAAGCAGCCAUCAUUUAAAGAAAGCGUAAUAGCUCACUGGUCGAGUCGGCCUGCGCGGAAGAUGUAACGGGGCUAAACCAUGCACCGAAGCUGCGGCAGCGACGCUUAUGCGUUGUUGGGUAGGGGAGCGUUCUGUAAGCCUGUGAAGGUGUACUGUGAGGUAUGCUGGAGGUAUCAGAAGUGCGAAUGCUGACAUAAGUAACGAUAAAGCGGGUGAAAAGCCCGCUCGCCGGAAGACCAAGGGUUCCUGUCCAACGUUAAUCGGGGCAGGGUGAGUCGACCCCUAAGGCGAGGCCGAAAGGCGUAGUCGAUGGAAAACAGGUUAAUAUUCCUGUACUUGGUGUUACUGCGAAGGGGGGACGGAGAAGGCUAUGUUGGCCGGGCGACGGUUGUCCCGGUUUAAGCGUGUAGGCUGGUUUUCCAGGCAAAUCCGGAAAAUCAAGGCUGAGGCGUGAUGACGAGGCACUACGGUGCUGAAGCAACAAAUGCCCUGCUUCCAGGAAAAGCCUCUAAGCAUCAGGUAACAUCAAAUCGUACCCCAAACCGACACAGGUGGUCAGGUAGAGAAUACCAAGGCGCUUGAGAGAACUCGGGUGAAGGAACUAGGCAAAAUGGUGCCGUAACUUCGGGAGAAGGCACGCUGAUAUGUAGGUGAAGCGACUUGCUCGUGGAGCUGAAAUCAGUCGAAGAUACCAGCUGGCUGCAACUGUUUAUUAAAAACACAGCACUGUGCAAACACGAAAGUGGACGUAUACGGUGUGACGCCUGCCCGGUGCCGGAAGGUUAAUUGAUGGGGUUAGCGCAAGCGAAGCUCUUGAUCGAAGCCCCGGUAAACGGCGGCCGUAACUAUAACGGUCCUAAGGUAGCGAAAUUCCUUGUCGGGUAAGUUCCGACCUGCACGAAUGGCGUAAUGAUGGCCAGGCUGUCUCCACCCGAGACUCAGUGAAAUUGAACUCGCUGUGAAGAUGCAGUGUACCCGCGGCAAGACGGAAAGACCCCGUGAACCUUUACUAUAGCUUGACACUGAACAUUGAGCCUUGAUGUGUAGGAUAGGUGGGAGGCUUUGAAGUGUGGACGCCAGUCUGCAUGGAGCCGACCUUGAAAUACCACCCUUUAAUGUUUGAUGUUCUAACGUUGACCCGUAAUCCGGGUUGCGGACAGUGUCUGGUGGGUAGUUUGACUGGGGCGGUCUCCUCCUAAAGAGUAACGGAGGAGCACGAAGGUUGGCUAAUCCUGGUCGGACAUCAGGAGGUUAGUGCAAUGGCAUAAGCCAGCUUGACUGCGAGCGUGACGGCGCGAGCAGGUGCGAAAGCAGGUCAUAGUGAUCCGGUGGUUCUGAAUGGAAGGGCCAUCGCUCAACGGAUAAAAGGUACUCCGGGGAUAACAGGCUGAUACCGCCCAAGAGUUCAUAUCGACGGCGGUGUUUGGCACCUCGAUGUCGGCUCAUCACAUCCUGGGGCUGAAGUAGGUCCCAAGGGUAUGGCUGUUCGCCAUUUAAAGUGGUACGCGAGCUGGGUUUAGAACGUCGUGAGACAGUUCGGUCCCUAUCUGCCGUGGGCGCUGGAGAACUGAGGGGGGCUGCUCCUAGUACGAGAGGACCGGAGUGGACGCAUCACUGGUGUUCGGGUUGUCAUGCCAAUGGCACUGCCCGGUAGCUAAAUGCGGAAGAGAUAAGUGCUGAAAGCAUCUAAGCACGAAACUUGCCCCGAGAUGAGUUCUCCCUGACUCCUUGA